AGAGAGCACUAAGGUGUUUUUGAUUACCCCACCAUAUAUUAUUAGAAUAAUAAUAAUAAUGCAAUGUCACAUAGAAGAAAAAAACAAGGACAAGUGAAGCAUAGAAUCUUCAAUGCAAAGGGUAACAAGGUUAGUCCAAACAUACAGACAGUGCCAAAUAUUUUUAGUUCUCAUGAAAAAGGGAAGAAAAAAUUGAGAUGACAAAUUGGAGUUGUUUUCUGCAAUCAUGCAAAAAAGAUUAAGGUUUUGUUAUAUAAAAAAAAAACAUUUUUACAAUAUAUUUUGUGUUUGACUGUUGUUCAAAGAGUAUGGCAGUGUUGUUUGAUGGUCCUACUUUAGUUUCCUGUCUUACUUGAAGGGAACCUUAUAUUCGGUCACUCUGCCUUGUGCAUGUGGUUUUGCCAGUCACUUCUGUUUCUGUAAACCAAUGAAACAUGUACAAAGAAGGGACAUAAAGGAAGAAAAACAAAUAAAGGAACAAGUACCUAAGCUCAUCCUAAUGAAACUCCUCUGAUCACUUCAAGCUCUUGAGAUAAAAAGGUACAAUUUUCUUUGCUCUAUGUAUCUUAUAACCAUCUUUCAUUUUGUGUGUAAUAAUUUGUAUAUAAUUAAUUACAUUUAGUAUUUGUGUAGUGACAUAAUGUAUAGAUAGAUAUAUAUACUUUUGUGUGCCUGGCUCCCUGUAUGCCAUUUGUAGAGUUCAUCAAAAUAGUGAUGGCUUUAAUGAAUGGCGUGCGAGGAGCCAUGCAUGCUGUGUAUAUUUUCUAUAUCCUGUACAAGAUCUUGUUCUUAAUUUUUGCAUGUUAUCUUAAUUAUGUUUCAAUCUUUUCUUGUUUGUAUUGUUUGGUUGUUUAAUUUUCAUUCACCUUUGGGAAGGGAUGCAGGGGAAGCAGGGGUGUAGUAAUUGAUCUUUGGAUUGGAUCUUCUUUCUUUAGGUGUCUAGAUGGAUAAUUAGUACUAAUCUGUUUUUAAUUAAUAAUGCAAUGUUCAAGUGAAUUUAUGUAUAUAGAGCUUCAUUGUUCAAGAUGCCUUUGACUUGGUUAGAUUAGAUAGUAGAUAGGUAGGUUUUUAUUAGGUAUAGAUAACAAAUAAUUUUUUAAAUUGUGAAUGUUGCUUUCAUAUUUUUGAACAAAUAUUUUAAAUAAAAUUAAAAUAACAAUGAUUUUUGUUUGUGAAAAUAUGUUAGUAUUUAGUAUAGUUAGUAUCACAUAAGAAUGAUAUGACAAUUUUUGUUUUCAUGUUUUGUUAUAUUACUUUCUGACUUUAUUUGAUCACUUUAGAGGUUAAUAAUUGACUUAUUAAUUUGUCCAUGUGUAAAGAUCAUUAUCACUCUCAAGUGGACGUAGUCACCAAUCGUUUUCGUAGUUCUGUUGUCAUUUUUGUUGUAAUUGAAUAGUUAAUUGUUUAUGUAUAAACUCAUCACUAAAAAAUUGUUUAUGUGUAAAUAUUAAAACACAUUCAUUACAGCACAGUAAUGAGAAGCUUCUCAAUUCAAAUAAUUAAUUAAUGAUACACAUUCUUUCUUAUAAUUAUUAAGCUUAUUUGCUUCAGAAAAUAUGUAUUGUUUUCACUAUCUGUCUAAAGAUGAAAUUGCAAAAAAGAAAAAGUAUUUUUGAUUGAUGGAGACCAAGGAAGUUGAAGUGGUGGUCCAAUAGGGCCAUAGUCCAAAGAUGCAGUGCAAGAAAUUGAGAGAAUCCCUGACAAGGGCCAACAAAUUGAAAGCAGGAGUUCAGAGAUUCCAUGACAAAAACAACUUGAAGCCUUUGUUUCGAUAUUUUAUCGAAUAAUUAUCAAAGUUCUAGCCCAAUAAAUAGGCUAAUGAUUGGUGUCAUUAUAAAUAAUGAGUUUCUUUUUCCACCAUAGAUACACUUUGGAAGUACAUAUUUGUAAAAAAAAAAAUGUUUUUUGCCCUCUAGAUUUGUUCAAACAUAAUUUAGUUGCCCUUUGAAUUUGUACUACGAGGCAGACAUAUAUGAUUUUUUUAAAAA
Molecule: non-coding RNA, 1988 nt
Organism: Cicer arietinum (chickpea)
Lineage: Eukaryota; Viridiplantae; Streptophyta; Magnoliopsida; Fabales; Fabaceae
Source: RefSeq, a predicted model, not a curated record